CAUAGCUAAAUUAUCCUUUGCUUGCUACUGUUUUGGAAGAUUUGGUGCCAUUUAUGUACAAUUUCUUUCAUCUUCCAAACACAGCUACAGGGAGAUCCAAAAUUACAUCCAAUGUGAGGUUACGGUGUGAUUAAACAAAUAAAUGUUCCCUUUGCUUCUUUGCUUAAUUGUCCAAAGUGAAGUCUCAGUUGACUUGGCUUUCUGAUCCUUUUGAGAUCUCGGCUUUUCUUCAAUCGUUCAAAGUUCUUGCUUUUUCCCUUGACUGCCCCUGAGGAUAUUCCCCUUCCCUAACUUCUGUUUUGGGUUUGGUGCAGGUAUCUUAAGUAAAUCCAAGUAACAUGAAUUCCACUAUUGCAAUCCAGGAUGUUAUGCCUUUCAUUGUGAUCAUUAUUGCAACAUAGCUUAACCACAGACAAAUGGGAAAUGCUGUUUCAACAUUACAAUUGUUCUUUGUGGGUAUGAGCCUAUAUAAAAGCAACAGACAAGGUGAAUUGAGGUUUAAAAGUCUGCAUUCUUAAAAGUAAGACAGCUGAGCAGCAUUUGGACUCAGUAUGGGACGAAUAUUCCUUUGGGGAGGUUUUGCCAUCUUGCUGUUUCUUCAGAGCAGUUUUGCUUUCAAAGUGGUUUGCUAUUUCACCAACUGGGCUCAGUAUAGACCAAACAAAGGGUGAUUCCUUCCUCGUGACAUUGACCCUAAUGUGUGCACUCAUCUCAUUUACGCAUUUGCGGGAAUGAAAGGAAACGAGAUUGCAACUCUGGAAUGGAACGAUGUGGACCUCUACAAGGAAUUCAAUGAUCUCAAAAAGAAGAAUCCAGGACUGAAGACACUGUUAGCUAUCGGUGGAUGGACAUUUGGUAGUGCAAAGUAAGUUGUGGGAUGUGUGUUUCUCAGAAAGAAACUUCAUCAUGAGAAUUCCACAAUGAGAGCUUUCUAAUUUGCAGACUUCUGGUGGAAUUCUAGGAUUCUAGCUCUCUUUUUUAUUUGAAAUUAAGUUUCUAAUUUUCACAAAUGCAAAUAAUACUCUUGGUGCCUUACUCCAGCGUAAUUUGCCAGAGUGAUCCGUAAUAGCUGUGUGGAGCAAACAAUGGGACAGAAUAAAAUGCAUUUCUCCUGCAAGAAGGAAUCCCCAAAGCUUAAAUCCAAUUGUUAACUCCAACAACAAAAGCUCAGUUGAAUCAGUGAAAAUUAAGUAAAUCUGACUUAGCAAAUCCCUGUGUAUUGAUAGGUCUACUCUAGUUGGGACUAACAACAGGAUGUAAGCCAAUGUAUUUUAGAAUCAUCAAUAUUCAGUGACACUGUUCCCUCCCCCACAUCUAAUACUGAGCCUGACAUUUUCAGGCCAUGAAAUUGAAAUAAUGAGAAAUAUGCAUAUUAGCUCCAAU
Molecule: long non-coding RNA, 1383 nt
Filed under: Anolis carolinensis (green anole)
Lineage: Eukaryota; Metazoa; Chordata; Lepidosauria; Squamata; Anolidae
Description: lncRNA (ENSACAG00000043998.1)
Source: RNAcentral